UACGGAGGAGGCAAGCGUUAUCCGGCAUUAUAGGGCGUAAAGCGUCCGUAGGUGGUUGGCCAAGUCUGCUGUCAAAGGGUGGGGCUUAACCUCAUAAAGGCAGUGGAAACUGGCGAGCUAGAGUGCGGUAGGGGUAGGGGGAAUUCCCAGUGUAGCGGUGAAAUGCGUAGAGAUUGGGAAGAACAUCGGUGGCGAAAGCGCCCUGCUGGGCCUGCACUGACACUGAGGGACGAAAGCUAGGGGAGCGAAUGGG
This 253-nucleotide ribosomal RNA is filed under the name uncultured bacterium. RNAcentral's name for it is "partial 16S ribosomal RNA". It matches the Rfam family "Bacterial small subunit ribosomal RNA", at positions 524 to 776 of the family's 1533-position model. The record is from RNAcentral.